AUGAACGCUGGCGGCGUGCCUAAUACAUGCAAGUCGAGCGAACAGACGAGGAGCUUGCUCCUCUGACGUUAGCGGCGGACGGGUGAGUAACACGUGGAUAACCUACCUAUAAGACUGGGAUAACUUCGGGAAACCGGAGCUAAUACCGGAUAAUAUAUUGAACCGCAUGGUUCAAUAGUGAAAGACGGUUUUGCUGUCACUUAUAGAUUGAUCCGCGCCGCAUUAGCUAGUUGGUAAGGUAACGGCUUACCAAGGCGACGAUGCGUAGCCACCUGAGAGGGUGAUCGGCCACACUGGAACUGAGACACGGUCCAGACUCCUACGGGAGGCAGCAGUAGGGAAUCUUCCGCAAUGGGCGAAAGCCUGACGGAGCAACGCCGCGUGAGUGAUGAAGGUCUUCGGAUCGUAAAACUCUGUUAUUAGGGAAGAACAAAUGUGUAAGUAACUAUGCACGUCUUGACGGUACCUAAUCAGAAAGCCACGGCUAACUACGUG
RNAcentral lists this ribosomal RNA (495 nucleotides) under uncultured bacterium. RNAcentral describes it as "partial 16S ribosomal RNA". It matches the Rfam family "Bacterial small subunit ribosomal RNA", at positions 29 to 507 of the family's 1533-position model. The record is from RNAcentral.